CAAAGAUUUUUGUUUUAUUGUAUUUCUGUUUGUUAUCAGUUCAUUAACUUCUUUAUAGCAGAACUGCUGAAAUUAAGGAUGUAAGGCUGAGCUCACUCAAUUGACUGAGAAAAGAAUUCAUCAUCUUAUACGUCCUGGUGAGUAGAGCUGUACAACAACCGGAAUUCGAAAACUCGGAUCUUUAGCAUCCGAGUUUCCGAAUAUCCGGUUGUCAACCGGAUUCCAGGAAUCCUUUGUUUUUUUUACUGUUUCUGUGACUUUUUUUUGGAUUUCGAAUCUCUGCGUUGGAAAAGUCACAGAAACAGUAAAAAAAAACAAUGGAUUCGGCGAAUCCGGGUGUCAUCCGGUUAAUCGGUUAAAGCAGUAACCGGAUGGCAUAUUCCGAUUUCAUUCCGAUUAUCCGGUUGUUGUACAGCACUACUGGUGAGGUACUACGUAUUACCCACUGAUUAGUGUGGUGUAAUUGAGAAUUAAGAAAGUGAACUUUACUCGAGGAAUUUGGUUAGAGUUUCCCUGGGGACAUGAAUGCAGCUUCCUUCGGUUACUAAUUUCCUUUUUGGUUUCAACUUUCAGUAAGUGUGUAUAACUAGGAAAUUGUAGUAAUAAUGAAUUGGUCCAUGUUACUGCGAUGAACAUUUUAAAUGAAGGUUGAAACUUGAAAAUUGAAAUAAGCAACUUUGAAGCCUGUUCUCGUCUCUGUAAAUAAGUAACCCCCUCCCCGCUCCUCCUUCUGUUAUCAAUCGUAGUGAAGUACUGUCUAUCUAGUAUCUAGUUCCAGGUUCCCCAUCAUUGCAAAAACUAUUAUUUAGAUAAAAAUUUGCAAUCAAGUACUUUUCAGUGCACGGAAACAAAGUCGAUCCACCGUCCUUGAAAUUUUAUCUUAUCAACAGCUACGUAUUAUUUUGGCAAGGGAUACAUUUUAUCUUACAUCCCCAGAACCAUCCUCACUUGUAAGUUGUAAAUGACUGUUUGCCACUGUCUAAUGAAUUUUAAGAAUCACGGUUUCUGUUUCUUUAUUCUUCAAGUGCUUGCUAUUCUAACGUUGUAAUCUAUACAACUAUCUAUACCUAUAGUUGAAAACCCAUUCUUCAUGAUUUUCACUAUCUAUCUCCAUGGUUAUCUUUUCAACUGUGUACAUUUUCAAAAAGAAAUUUGAAGUUUGAUUUCAAAUAUUUGUAUUUUUAAAUGAGAAGAUAAUGACGGUGCAAAGAAGCCUCUUCUGUAACUGGCAGUACUUUUUUCUGUUCAAAACGAUUUAUAUGUAUUUCGUAAAAUAAUGUUGAUUUUCACUAAACAAGUACGUGAUUCCGCGUAAUUGAACCGUCGCGUCGCCGCGUCAACGGAAAUUAUGCGAUAUGGACUGAAACAGCGAAGUAAAUGCCGGAUGCAAUGUUAGAGAUUUAUCAGUAUUCUAUGAAACAUUGAUGAGAUUCUCUUAUCAGCGUUGUAACGUUUUAAUUUUUUCCGUUAGAAUUAAUAUCACCACCCGGAAAUGACUAUAUUAUUUGAAAUAAUUUCAUUUAAUCAUCUGCGCAGCAAAUUUAGUUCAAAUUUGAGGAUUUUGUUAGAAUAGAUAAUUUAAUCGAUGUAGAGUUUGUCACUUGUGUUUUUUUUUUUGGUGAGAUUUACAUUUUACAGUGUGCUCAGCCCCCUCCCUCACACUAAAUUUUUGUUUAAAAUGUUGAAAAGUGACAUGGAAUAGGAGUUUACAAUUUACAUGAAACGAACUCAAGUCUUCGUCACGGUGACUCAGGGAGUCAGAGUGAGUGUGAGAACAUAUCAGAGUGUUACAAAAUUAAGUAUUUUUUUCUGUUUUGAUUUCUCGAUGGAUGUUAAUUUAUUUAGUAUAAUGAUUUAAGUUCAUGAAUAUUGAGUGAAUUUCAAGACAAACAUUUGACAAUCCUAUGAGAUUUAAUUCUAAAUUAUUUUUUCAAAUUUCGAUGAUUUAUGGUUGAGUAUUGAUGGUUAUUGACUUGUUGGCUGCAGUCCAUGAUUGUUUGCUUCGAGUGUUAAUGCAAGCAUUGAUUUUUAAAUGAAAAACUAAUCAGAAUCAACUGAACUAUCGCGAUGCAGUACCUAUUUCAUUUCUGCAUGUCAUUAUUCUUCAUUUGAAAUAACGAAAGUGUUCAAGGACGUACAUGGUUUAUUGACCCAAGUCGUCUCGUGUUUUUCCAGAAAAUCAGUAGAAGCUAUUAAAAUUCAUUAUUUUUGCUGUCAUUGUUUCAGUAGAUGGGUAAGAGUGAUAAUGGGAGCAUUUCUUUUGUGAGGAAAUGAAGUAUUGUUAGGAGGCAUGUGAUCAAAAUUAAAUUGUAUCAUUUUUAAAAUGGCAGUCUUGCGGUGAAGGGAUGAGGUGGUACGAACUGUAAAAUGGUAUCAAAAAACCUGUAGUAUAUUGUACGACACUGUGAACAAGUGAAAAAUUUGAAGGAAAAAAAGGUACUUAGGCCAGUAGCUAUCACUUAGCAUUUAGCAGAGACUCAAGGCCAAAGCCAAACUAAUGAAGUUGUAUUUUGUAGGAUUCUAUUUUGGAAAUUUUUUUUGUUUUUAAUUUCAACUUUUUAAUGGGAAUAAGGAAUAACAAACCAGUACAUAUUUGCAUGGUAGAAAUGUUACAAUAUUGUUGAAAAAAAAUUAUUCAUUUUCCUUAAAUUUUUGGUAUUAUCAUAAAGAAAUGAUAAACUACGAUCUGCUAAUAUAAAAAAAGUUGUCUUCAUCUGUUAUGUCGUAAAUGCUUAUAAUAUUGAAUUAAGAAAGAAAGUUGGGAAUUAUUUUAUUUUUGAUGGAACUCUUUUUAUAAUUAUAUUGUAUAAUAAAAGACACUUUUUUGAUACCUGGUGCAGAAUCACGUGUGUGUGUACAGUUUUGUGUAAAAUUUUGUUCACCCUGUCACGGUAACAGCUCGAAAUUUAAUAAAUUCCUGCAUUUUUUACACUUGCACAUCAAGAGAAACCUCAAAAAUAAGAAACAAAAAGUGAGAAAGUUCUUUUAAAAAAAUAUGUUCUUUCUCGCGAGUGAAUUUAGCAAAGGGCGGGAAAAAAUCUCAUCCUAUGCAUCGUACGACGUGGCGCGCACCUUGUUCAAUCUGAUUUCCCCUCUUUUGAUCUCGUCGUCGUCGUCUUGACGUUGCGGCGGCAACUUUCUCCCCUCCAAGACGCUGACUUAGACGGAAAAGUGACGUCUUUCGGUGACGUUCGCUUUUCUUCGGCUUUCUUCGGGUAUAGUGGUUUCGAGACGUGGCUUGUUUUCUGCGGUCUGUUACAUUCCACCGUUCGGUAUGCUUUUUCCCGCCGAACAGUUUCAUUCUUUUUUUGCGGGCCAGUCGUCGCGAAUGAUGAAGUUUUCGUGCACCUUACAUUACACCGUGUUCUGUUCUUGCCCUUGCUCGGCUAAAUAUGAUUUGAUUUACCGGCUUUUUUCUAGUACUAGUGUCACUCUGUUUCUUUGAUAUGGACGCAAUUUGAACACCGGAUUUUCAUCGGGGAAUUUAAAGGCAAAAACCAGUAGCGAGGUAUAGAGUUCCUACGUUCUGUGAUGUCGUAGGAACUUCAUACCGUGCUCUUGGUCACGCCAUGCUCAUCAUUUAUUAUUGCCAUUAUUUUAUCUAUAAUACUUGCUUUUAAUUUGGGCUUCUCGAUGUGUUAUUUGAAACCUUUGUUUUAUACAUAAGAUGUAAUUAGUUAUAAUUGAAAAUUCUCUGUAUGUCUUCUCUCACCACUGUUGAGGUACAUUAUGUUUGAACGUUUAGAUACCAAUGAACGUGAGAUAGAAUUGUGUCUAUGUUGAUUGGAAAAGACCAAGUGGUAAUGAGUUCCGUUUUAAUAAAUGGAAAUAAGAAUCUUAUUUCUAGCGAAAUUAUCCCUCCUGAACCUUUGCAAUUUCUGUGAUGAAUAUUAAUACAUAAUUAAUCAUUUGUUUA
Molecule: long non-coding RNA, 3916 nt
Organism: Planococcus citri (citrus mealybug)
Lineage: Eukaryota; Metazoa; Arthropoda; Insecta; Hemiptera; Pseudococcidae
Exons: 2
Source: RefSeq, a predicted model, not a curated record